GGUUGACCUCGGAUCAGGCAGGGAUACCCGCUGAACUUAA
RNAcentral lists this ribosomal RNA (40 nucleotides) under Parmeliella triptophylla. Its description in RNAcentral is "partial 28S ribosomal RNA". The record is from RNAcentral. Lineage: Eukaryota; Fungi; Ascomycota; Lecanoromycetes; Peltigerales; Pannariaceae. RNAcentral also lists the same sequence under 1 other name.